UUAACACAUGCAAGUCGAACGAUGAUCCUGGAGCUUGCUCUGGGGGAUUAGUGGCGAACGGGUGAGUAACACGUGAGUAACCUGCCCUUGACUCUGGGAUAACCUCCGGAAACGGAAGCUAAUACCGGAUAUGACGCACGGAGGCAUCUCCUGUGCGUGGAAAGAAUUUCGGUCAAGGAUGGACUCGCGGCCUAUCAGGUAGUUGGUGAGGUAACGGCUCACCAAGCCUACGACGGGUAGCCGGCCUGAGAGGGUGACCGGCCACACUGGGACUGAGACACGGCCCAGACUCCUACGGGAGGCAGCAGUGGGGAAUAUUGCACAAUGGGCGAAAGCCUGAUGCAGCAACGCCGCGUGAGGGACGACGGCCUUCGGGUUGUAAACCUCUUUUAGUAGGGAAGAAGCGAAAGUGACGGUACCUGCAGAAAAAGCACCGGCUAACUACGUGCCAGCAGCCGCGGUAAUACGUAGGGUGCAAGCGUUGUCCGGAAUUAUUGGGCGUAAAGAGCUCGUAGGCGGUUUGUCGCGUCUGCUGUGAAAUCCCGAGGCUCAACCUCGGGUCUGCAGUGGGUACGGGCAGACUAGAGUGCGGUAGGGGAGAAUGGAAUUCCUGGUGUAGCGGUGGAAUGCGCAGAUAUCAGGAGGAACACCGAUGGCGAAGGCAGUUCUCUGGGCCGUAACUGACGCUGAGGAGCGAAAGCGUGGGGAGCGAACAGGAUUAGAUACCCUGGUAGUCCACGCCGUAAACGUUGGGC
RNAcentral lists this ribosomal RNA (755 nucleotides) under Cryocola sp. RNAcentral describes it as "bacterial SSU rRNA". It matches the Rfam family "Bacterial small subunit ribosomal RNA", at positions 48 to 814 of the family's 1533-position model. The record is from RNAcentral. Lineage: Bacteria; Bacillati; Actinomycetota; Actinomycetes; Micrococcales; Microbacteriaceae.